This 69-nucleotide transfer RNA is filed under the name Maoricolpus roseus. RNAcentral describes it as "tRNA-Asp". Lineage: Eukaryota; Metazoa; Mollusca; Gastropoda; Turritellidae. The record is from RNAcentral.
AGAAGAUUAGUUAUAAAAAUAAUAUUAGGUUGUCAACCUUAAGUUACUGAGUGUUUUCAGUAUCUUCUA